Molecule: long non-coding RNA, 181 nt
Organism: Gopherus evgoodei (Goodes thornscrub tortoise)
Lineage: Eukaryota; Metazoa; Chordata; Testudines; Testudinidae
Exons: 3
Source: RefSeq, a predicted model, not a curated record
GUACUUGCUAGACAAGGGACAUGGGUUCCAAAACCCAAAGAAGAGAGAGAGGUUGGGGACCGGUGUGUGUACUUGGUGGUAUGGGCCCCUUGUGAGGGCCUGGAGCACCAAUUGCACAUCCUGCUCUCUCCACUGUGGAAUGUCAGAGUUGAUUUUUUAUUCCCUUAAGAAUCCAGAUACA